Transfer RNA from Trichoderma atroviride IMI 206040, 100 nucleotides. It matches the Rfam family "tRNA". Rfam says of the family: Transfer RNA (tRNA) molecules are approximately 80 nucleotides in length. Their secondary structure includes four short double-helical elements and three loops (D, anti-codon, and T loops). Lineage: Eukaryota; Fungi; Ascomycota; Sordariomycetes; Hypocreales; Hypocreaceae. The record is from Rfam.
GCUCGCGUAGCUCAGUUGGUUAGAGCUUCGUACUAAUACUUCAGCGUCAGUUGAAAUCUUGGUAAUGCGGAGGCCGCAGGUUCAAGCCCUGCCGUGAGCA